GAUGAAGAACGUAGCAAAAUGCGAUACUUGGUGUGAAUUGCAGAAUCCCGUGAACCAUCGAGUCUUUGAACGCAAGUUGCGCCCGAAGCCAUUAGGCCGAGGGCACGCCUGCCUGGGCGUCACACGUCGUUGCCCCCCCAUCUACUCCUUCGGGAUUGCGGGGGGCGGAUGAUGGCCUCCCGUGCGCCUCGUCGCGCGGUUGGCAUAAAUGCCAAGUCCUCGGCGACGCACGCCACGACAAUCGGUGGUUGCGAAACCUCGGUUGCCCGUCGUGUGCGGUCGUCGCGCAUCGAGGGCUCGAAAAAAUUGCCGAGCUCCGGCUCGGCUUUCAACGCGACCCCAGGUCAGGCGGGGUUACCCGCUGAAUUUUAGCAUAUCAAUAAGCGGAGGA
RNAcentral lists this unclassified non-coding RNA (391 nucleotides) under soil metagenome. Its description in RNAcentral is "partial contains 5.8S ribosomal RNA, internal transcribed spacer 2, and large subunit ribosomal RNA". The stretch from base 1 to 122 matches the Rfam family "5.8S ribosomal RNA", at positions 35 to 154 of the family's 154-position model. The record is from RNAcentral.